Molecule: ribosomal RNA, 253 nt
Filed under: uncultured bacterium
Lineage: Bacteria
Description: partial 16S ribosomal RNA
Rfam family: Bacterial small subunit ribosomal RNA
Source: RNAcentral
UACAGAGGGUGCGAGCGUUGUUCGGAAUUACUGGGCGUAAAGCGUGCGCAGGCGGCUUUGCAAGACAGAUGUGAAAUCCCCGGGCUCAACCUGGGAACUGCAUUUGUGACUGCAAGGCUAGAGUACGGUAGAGGGGGAUGGAAUUCCGCGUGUAGCAGUGAAAUGCGUAGAUAUGCGGAGGAACACCGAUGGCGAAGGCAAUCCCCUGGACCUGUACUGACGCUCAUGCACGAAAGCGUGGGGAGCAAACAGG